AUUUGGAUGAAGCCAACUUUUCUCACAUUAUCCAUUGCAAAGGACCAGCGGAAGCAUGGAAGAUACUUUGCAACAUAUAUGAGAGCAAGAACUUGUCCAACAUCCUCUUCACAAGAAGAAAAUUCUUCACUUGUAAGAUGGAAGAAGGUGAAGACCUCAUGGCACAUGUUAAUAAGGUAAAGGCUCUUGCAAAUCAACUAGCAAUUGUUGACA
This 213-nucleotide long non-coding RNA is filed under the name Physcomitrium patens. RNAcentral's name for it is "long non-coding RNA (PPAT_LNC009460)". Lineage: Eukaryota; Viridiplantae; Streptophyta; Bryopsida; Funariales; Funariaceae. The record is from RNAcentral.